This 460-nucleotide ribosomal RNA is filed under the name uncultured bacterium. Its description in RNAcentral is "partial 16S ribosomal RNA". It matches the Rfam family "Bacterial small subunit ribosomal RNA", at positions 338 to 795 of the family's 1533-position model. The record is from RNAcentral.
CCUACGGGAGGCAGCAGUGAGGAAUAUUGGUCAAUGGCCGGAAGGCUGAACCAGCCAUGCCGCGUGAAGGUCAGUGCCCUAUGGGCGUUAAACUUCUUUUGUGCGGGAGCAAUAAUGGUCACGUGUGGCCAGACGAGAGUACCGUACGAAUAAGCAUCGGCUAACACCGUGCCAGCAGCCGCGGUAAUACGGGGGAUGCAAGCGUUAUCCGGAUUUAUUGGGUUUAAAGGGUGCGUAGGCUGUGAGGUAAGUCAGCGGUGAAAUGCCCCCGCUCAACGGGGUGAAGUGCCAUUGAUACUGCCUGGCUGGAAUGCGGAUGCGGUGGGAGGAAUGUGUGGUGUAGCGGUGAAAUGCAUAGAUAUCACACAGAACACCGAUUGCGAAGGCAUCUCACGAAUCCGCGAUUGACGCUGAUGCACGAAAGCGUGGGUAUCAAACAGGAUUAGAUACCCUAGUAGUC